Panicum virgatum (switchgrass) is the source of this 2187-nucleotide long non-coding RNA. RefSeq lists it as uncharacterized. The record is from RefSeq and is a predicted model, not a curated record. NCBI's taxonomy places the organism in Eukaryota, Viridiplantae, Streptophyta, Magnoliopsida, Poales, Poaceae. The transcript is spliced from 4 exons.
CACGCGCGCGCCUGCGCCCGUCCGGUGGAUGGGAUGGCCGGCGGGCCGGCGAUCGAGCGCCUCCCCCUCGAUCUGGCACAGCGCAGCGGCGCCGUACCGCAUCAUUGCACACCGUAGCCCUAGCCAAGUUGCCAGCCCGGCACGGAAUGUUCCGGCUCAGCCGCCCGCCCCGCUGCCGCCUAUAUAGCCGCCCCGGCCGGCGCCCCGAUCCCUUGCUCCCCGCGACGCCCGCCCAUCUCGCCAUGGCGCCCCGGCCCGCGCGCGCCUCCUCCUGAGCUGAUGAUGGCCUGCGCGCGCGAGCUGCUGCUAGCUCGCGAGACGCGUGCGGUGAUUGCGGCGGCGGCGGGGUGCUGCAGGCGCGGCCGGCUACCGAUCGGCGGGCGGCGCGCGCGGGCGGUGACAGAAGAGAGUGAGCACACGGCCGGGCGGAACGGCACCGGCGGAUGUGCCGUCGCGGCCGCGUGCUCACUGCUCUAUCUGUCAUCCUCCCCUCUCCCCCGGCCGGCCGCCCUGCCGAUCGGUGCUAGCCGUGGCGCCUCUCCGCAGAAACGCUCGCGCGGCCGUCGCGAUCACCGCACCGGCGCGGCUGCAAGCUAGCACACGCCGGCGCACGCCCCCCCGGUGAUCUCUCCAUCUCCUUGCCCGUGUGUCAUUGUAUGCCGCAGAAUUGCCACCGCUGCGUCGUGAAUUGUCAUUGUAUGCCGCACACCAAUCACGAUUCUUAGCUUUGCGUGUAGUAUAUCGAUCCCUUGCUUAAGUUCCCAAUAAUAGUCUGAUUUGGUUUUCAUGGGGUUCUGGAGUUUCUUCGAUUCUGGGAUCUUCCUUCGGCGUGGGAAGGUAGAGAGGAGGUCAGAUCCCUUCUCAAUCUCUCUCUCUCUUUUUGUAUUUCAGGCAUCUGGACUACUAUACCACACAGUUGCUGACUUUGAUUUACAGUUUUACACAGGGAUUGCAUGUCCCGUGCUGUGCUGUGCUAGGGGUGGUAAAAGGUCUUAAUUAAAAUUUUGCCAAAAUAUUCUAAGGGCCGAGUCUGAAAAGGGUCGGACUCUAGUAGUACAAUUUUGAGAUAAAAAUUAAUAAGCUAAGGGACCUGUUGGAUUGCGAAGAGACUUCGAGCCAUGAUUGGUUACCCCUUCUCCGCAUUUAUUUCUUUAAUUGAGCCAAUUUAUAUGAUGAUUUAGGAACAAUUCUGUUGGGGGUCGCACUGCCACAGCUGAAACAGGUACUUAAUUAUGCACUGUUAUAAUUUGGUAUUUUCGUUUUAAUUUGUUGUGGUGCGUACAGUUCAUAUCAUUCUGUAGGUUUGUUAUUCUUGAUGUCAUGCACAACAUGUACAUCAGGCUCUCAGCAUUAAUUUGCCAAAAUUAUCAUUGUCUGCAAUUUCGGGAAGAGGCAUAUACAUAUAUACUCGGUGAGGAUCCGAGGGUGGCUCUCUUUAUCUGAUCAUCAUGCGAAGCCAAGCAGGAAGAAAGGCCGCCACUCUUCUUGGGCUGUAUGUAUGAGCAACGCCAGUACAGUAAUGGAUGGAUUUGCAACCUCUGCUGGGAGCUUGUGAGUUUGCUUAUCUUACUAUCUAUCAUCAGUUAGAUCAUGAGCUGUAGUAUACAUGAGGUAAGUCAAGUCUGUCUCUGCGGACCCGGACUAUGUGAUAUAGUGCCAGUGGCCAGUUAUGCUGUCAUCGUGAUGCGCUUGCAGCACGCUGGAGGUGCUUGGUGCGGUUGAGUGCAGUGCAUACAGCUGAAAUAUCAAGCAGCUGCCACCUUGACCUUGGCUCCACACUGAUGUUACUUAAUCGACAUGGUACCAGUAUGCUGAUGAGGAUGCCCCUCGAUUUGAUGAUUCGCCAGAUGAUGUGGACUCAGCAGAUUGUAACCUAUUCAUCAAGUUUGAAGUCAUAUAGGCUCAUAUAUAGCUGAUACACUCCAGACCUUUUGCUCUUCACUUUUACACGUGCAUUCACAUUUGUAGCUCCAGCCUUCCAGAGAACGGUAGGGGGCUAGGGGCUAGGUUGCUGGACAAGUGUGUAGAGACACACUGUUGCAUUCAUGACGUCUCGUACUUAUCUCUUCAAUGAGAUCUGCCCUACUCAUCUUCGGAGUUCUUCAUCUGUAAACGCUCUUGACAGUUAACAGCUGUGUCUGUGCACAAAGUAUGUGUUUCAUCUCUUAGGCAUGUUUUUUGCUCGUA